Molecule: non-coding RNA, 402 nt
Organism: Vicugna pacos (alpaca)
Lineage: Eukaryota; Metazoa; Chordata; Mammalia; Artiodactyla; Camelidae
Source: RefSeq, a predicted model, not a curated record
UUCAGGGCCGAGCACGGAGGACGGGGUGGUUCAGGCUCAAGAAAGCCAUGAACUUCCUGAAGGGUUUCGGCAAAGUAUAUUUAAAGGCCAGGUAAGGGACGGGGUGGGGGGGCGCAGGGUAGGUGGUCAGCUCCCGCACAAUCCUCUGAUUAGCUGGUGUUGAGGCAGUGAGGCGGUCAACACUGUCAACCCCCAGGCUACAGAAGAACUGGUCGCGGCGAGGCUGGAAAACCCACCGGCUGCUCAGGUAGACGGGACUUGUCUGAAGAGGAAGCGUGAGACCAGCAGAAGUCCCCGCAGGAGAGUGCAAUUACCGUUUGUGCAUCGCACGGGAGCAGCCCCACAGGAUAUGAGUAUUCUCAGCUGCCGUGGUGAGGACUCCCUGGGAAAUUCCCGAUACAG